AUGUCCGUAGCUCCGCUCCCAGGCUGGGCUGCCUCUUUGUUUCUACCUAAUGUAAGUGUGGCUUUGAUGGAUGACCUUUGCCUUCCGCCAACAGGACAGGCUCUUCCCUCGCUUCAGGCGGGCGGCACUUCUGUGUUCUCACGGUACAGGUCUGGCCUCUGUCUUGGACAAGGCUUGCCUUCCACCAAGUUUCCCUCUCUGCCUGGCCUGACUGCCAGACGACUCCUGUCCCCUUUUGGCGCCCUUUGCAUGGUCAUCUCCCUUCUCCCCCACCGGCCCAGGGUCCCCAGAUCAGCCUCUCUCUCCCUCUCCUCCCCACCCUCAUUGUGUGACUUUUCUCACUGGGUUGAUAGGCUUGGAUGUUUGGUCUUCCGCAAAAAAUGGUCCUGCUCUUCCAGCUCCCUGCCCAAACGGCACACAACGUGGUUCUCCAGCCUCGGGUGAGGUGGGGGGGGGCUCGGGGGUUAAAGUCAGUGCUCCAAACCUGUUGCUGGGCAUUGUGCACUCAUGUCCUGGUGCUGGUCAAGGCCUCCUCCUCCUCCACCUUUGGGCAAGCAGGGUUGGGGAACGAGGUUUCCAGGGCGAUGGGUGUUUCGUGUGUGGAGCAGGGGAUGCCCCCUGAAUUUGGGGGAGUGAGGCAGCUCCUCUGCUUAUUUCAAGAGCACCCACUACUUCAUGCUCAGGCUCUCCGAUAUAUCCUAAUAGCUGGUCCCAUCAGAGGGUGGGUAACUGUGGCAGCUGGCAGGCAAAGAGCCCUGGCGGAGAACUGAUCUCUGUUCAGUUCCGUCAAGUUACUUCUGAUUUCUGUCAAUCUUAUGGAUCAUUAACAGCACUGCCCAGCUCUUAGAAUCAAAAUUAUGGCUUCCUUUAUUGAGUCAAUCCACCUCAUAUUUGGCCCUCCACCCCGCCCCCUGCUGCCUUAAACUUUGCCCGGCAUUGUCUUUUCCAAUGAUGCCUGUCUUCCCAUAAGGUGCUUAAAGUAUGAUAUCUUCAGUCCAGUCCUUUUUGCUUCCAAAAAGGUUCGAGCUCAGGUUCGACUUCAUGCAGGACUCACUUGUUUCUCUUUUGGGCAGUCCCAGCUAUCCACAAAAUUCUCCUCUAACAUCGUUUCAAAACAAUCAACUUUUUUCCUGUUGGCUUUCUUCACUGUCCUACCUUCUCAACCACGCAUAUUAAACAGGAGCCACAAUAUGACUGCUCUCGGUGUUCAGUGACACAUCCUUGCACUUGAGCAUCUUUUCGUGUCAAAACUGCACUUGUGAAUCUCAGUCUUCUUCUGAUUUUGUUUUUUCACUGAGGUAUAGAAAACCUUUAAUAAUAUUGAUUUCUUCAUUGUCAGUAUUAACUGUAACAAAUUCUGUGCAACUUUCUUCGCAAACAGAUUUUUUUCAAGUCCUUGCUACUUUCUGCCCAUAAUAUGGUGUCACUUGCAUAUUUUAAAUUAUUGUUUCUUCCAGACACAAUCACCUCUUCUCCAUCUGACCCAACCCCAACUUUCCAUAUGAUAUGAACUGCAUACCAGUUGAACGGACUGGGAGCUGAAAUAUGGCCUUGUCUUUUUCAAAGAAGUCGCCCAUGUUAGUUUGUGCUAAAGCCUAUCCAGAUAAGAUUAAAAACAAAAAGAAAGUAGACUAUUACAAUUCCUUCUUUAGAAGCAGAUGUAUCUAUGAAAGCUCACAAUGAAUCAUAAAAAUCAGGCUAUUGUGCUUUGGCUUUUAUUUCUGUCUUGCUACAGCUCUGCCUGUUUUCUGCUCCUCCAUGUUCUGUCUUAACACAAGCCUCUUCUCUACAUAUUGCACAUCAGGGCAAUUAAAUGCACACCCAUUUCUUUGAAAAUGCUCUGUAGCUUUUCAAGACUUACAAAAUAAAGGCUUUGCUAUAGCCUAUAAAGCA
Pogona vitticeps (central bearded dragon) is the source of this 1893-nucleotide long non-coding RNA. Lineage: Eukaryota; Metazoa; Chordata; Lepidosauria; Squamata; Agamidae. The record is from Ensembl.